AUACAUACGCCUUUCUGUUUGCUGUCAGCUGGAUUUUCGUGUGUUGUGCGUGUCUGUGGUCUGGGUUGAGUUUGUUGCUUGUAAUUCCUUGGAUCUGUGUGGAUCGAUCCUGCUGGAAGCCUGGAACCUUAUGCGCGUGGUUCCUGAAUCCUGAUUACCUGCCAUGGAAGAAGAUUUUGUAGUUCAUGGCGUAUAGGGGAGGAGCUGUUUAUGGGCUGGAAAGUAGGAUAAGAUGCGUGUAGCUUUUGGUCGAAUCUGUCAGUCCAAGCUACAAGUCACUUCUGUUAAGCUUCUAUUGCUAUAAAGUUGUUGUUGGAGGUAUGGAGAGAAAUAAAAAAAAAGUUCCACGCCUGUAUCUUUCGCGGUAUAGAUCAUCUUAUAAUGUCCUACUGAAUCCAGAGAAGGGAGUUGUUACUGAAAUGCUCAUGAUACUGUUCUUUUGUGAUGAAACUCUUAAGAGUCCUGGGGUACCUCUUAAUUCACUAAUAUUUCUGUUUAGCGGCGACUUUAGCGAAUGCUUGAGUUAAAUUUUCAGGAUUCAUGAGAUGCAUUUCUGUUACUGAAAUUUGCAAGUCUUAUGAUGGAUGUCCGAUGUGAUGCUUUGAAAUGAUAUGUUGAGCGUUAGACUCGAAAGUUUGUACCUUCAAUAGUUGGAUUUGAUCAUCAGUAAAACAUCCCCUGUUUCGUCUAAAAAAUCUUUAGAAACAGUAUGAAACUACUACUCAUCUUGGGUGUUGCUACGCGGACGAGGCCAACUCUCCUCAUUGCGGGUUGUCAUUCUUCUCUCGUGUCGCUUGUCAUGUCGAGGACGAGGCCCAUCUUGGCUUCCCUCUCUUCGACGGUGUUGGCUGGCCGAAGUGAGGGAGUUGUCGCUGUGCGGAGCGACAUUUGUCCGUAGCUUUAGUUGGGUGGCGUGUGUGGUCGCUAGAAUGACUCUGGCACUACAUUAUACUUGUGUGUAUUUCUUUCUCAUGCUUUAUCAAUGAAUCAGACAAAGCUCCUUGAAAAAAAGUAUGGAGUACUACUCGUUGGACACAUCGAGACGUGUUAUUGUCUGGCCAAUAUCAGAUUUUGUACCCCAAGUCUGCGUCUAGUUUGAGUCCAGGUGGCUUUUCUCCUGAAACUUUAAAUUUUCCUGGUGCAAAUUAUGCAAAGAUCGAGAGUUAAUUUUUACUCCGAUAAAUAACUCAGUUGGUGAUGGUGGCCGUCACAUUUAGACUUUCCCCUAUUGAUCGGACAAAACUCAUAUUUGUGUGCAUAGAUUAUUUGAUCUAGACAAUACACUUCUUUGAACAUAUAUCCUACUCCCUCCGUUCUUACAUGUUUGUCGCUGUUUUAACAGUAGCAAAACCACAGGUAUUGCGGUAGUACGAUAAAAAUGGCUAAACGGAAAAGUGACAGCAAUUAUGCACCGAUUUUCUUUCUUUCUUACAGAUACGGAGUACUCAACUCAAUCAGAGCCUGAGGGCAUUCAUUUCUAGUUAAACACGAAAUUUCCCUUUCCAUAUCAGACUAUGCCUUGAUGGAAUGCACAGCAUGCAUUCUCCGUUCUGCAAAAUUUGUGAAAAGCACACAGCUUGCCCUGUACCUGUCAACAGCCUAAUUUUGGUGACUGUUGUCUGCCAAGUGCUAACCCAUGUGGAAUAAUUAACCGUCUCACCAACCUCUGUAAUGGAUUUCUCUUGCAGCUAUCGGAAAUCGGAUGGCCUCACCUGCGACGCCGACAGAGCCCACCGGCACCCAGGAGGAAGCUGACGCGCGCCAGUCUCUCAUGGGGAUCUCCCGG
RNAcentral lists this long non-coding RNA (1786 nucleotides) under Brachypodium distachyon (stiff brome). RNAcentral describes it as "long non-coding RNA (BDIS_LNC005973)". The record is from RNAcentral. Lineage: Eukaryota; Viridiplantae; Streptophyta; Magnoliopsida; Poales; Poaceae.